This 253-nucleotide ribosomal RNA is filed under the name uncultured bacterium. RNAcentral's name for it is "partial 16S ribosomal RNA". It matches the Rfam family "Bacterial small subunit ribosomal RNA", at positions 524 to 776 of the family's 1533-position model. The record is from RNAcentral.
UACGUAGGGUGCAAGCGUUAAUCGGAAUUACUGGGCGUAAAGCGUGCGCAGGCGGUUAUGCAAGACAGAUGUGAAAUCCCCGGGCUCAACCUGGGAACUGCAUUUGUGACUGCAUGGCUAGAGUGCGGCAGAGGGGGGUGGAAUUCCGCGUGUAGCAGUGAAAUGCGUAGAUAUGCGGAGGAACACCGAUGGCGAAGGCAAUCCCCUGGGCCUGCACUGACGCUCAUGCACGAAAGCGUGGGGAGCAAACAGG